GGUUAGAUGGCUGAGGUUUAGGCGGUAAAUUGUAAAUUUAUAGACGGAGAGAUGCUCCUUUAAUCA
This 66-nucleotide transfer RNA is filed under the name Typhlatya dzilamensis. RNAcentral describes it as "tRNA-Tyr". It matches the Rfam family "tRNA". From Rfam's summary of the family: Transfer RNA (tRNA) molecules are approximately 80 nucleotides in length. The record is from RNAcentral. Lineage: Eukaryota; Metazoa; Arthropoda; Malacostraca; Decapoda; Atyidae.